Molecule: long non-coding RNA, 992 nt
Organism: Lotus japonicus
Lineage: Eukaryota; Viridiplantae; Streptophyta; Magnoliopsida; Fabales; Fabaceae
Exons: 4
Source: RefSeq, a predicted model, not a curated record
CAUCCUGCCUGCAGGUAGCAUUCGAAACGGGGCGCUGUCUGCUACGCUAUAAGAAAUAACGUUGCGCCCUCACUAACACCAAUUGGUUUUGGCGUAGUGGUAAGCGCGUGAUCCUACAAGUGGUAUCAGAGCCAGGUCCCAUGUUCGAAUCCCACGGAAGGCAUGCUGUGCAGCUAGUUUGGCUGGCAGGUGCUGGGGGGGGAUUGUUGGGUCCAGGUGGGCCAGCAUCCUGCCUGCAGGUAGCAUUCGAAACGGGGCGUUGUCUGCUACGCUAUAAGAAAUAACGUUGCGCCCUCACUAACACCAAUUGGUUUUGGCGUAGUGGUAAGCGCGUGAUCCUACAUAAAUGAUGCUUCAUGAAAUGGGAAACAGAUAUUUGUUGCAGGUACAUAGUCCCUACUUGUAUUUAUUUCUUGUUCCAUAUUGAUAACAUUGUGAGUUGAACACUAACCUCUACAUUGAAGGAGUGCUUACCCGAUGGAGUUUCCUAGGAGGCUCUACUGCGGUUUGGUGCCCUUAUUGCAGUGGCUGGUAUUUGAAUCGAUAUUGUCUCAUUUCUAGGUUCAGUCAAACUAUGGUCAAGAUUGUUGAUGAUGCUGAUUGAUGUCCUAAGUAUCUAAUAUCUGUGUACUUGAAGGGCGUAUCAUCAUCGUGGAGAAGGUCCUACAAGGUACUCUUUCCAGAACCAUUGCAGUGUUGAAAGUUUUACUUGGUACGGUGCAGCGAUUGAAAUGGAUAAUAAUAUUGAAACUGAUUAUACUGCGGACGAGACACCCAUGGUUAGCUAUGUAAAUGUGCAUGCUGUGUUAGAAGGAAGAAGAAGUCGAGCUAAGGCUUCGUCUUCAGAUGAUCCUGAGUCUUCUCAGGUAAUUUUUUUGUAUCUCACAAUUAGCAGAUUGGGUGUUUGCUUUUACAAAAUUUGUACGGUUUUUAUAUACUGUUGGUAAUACAUCUAUCUGAAUUGUGGAGUAUUAUGCUUUCUUUUAGAUAAA